This 421-nucleotide ribosomal RNA is filed under the name uncultured bacterium. RNAcentral's name for it is "bacterial SSU rRNA". It matches the Rfam family "Bacterial small subunit ribosomal RNA", at positions 355 to 774 of the family's 1533-position model. The record is from RNAcentral.
UAAGGAAUAUUGGUCAAUGGACGCAAGUCUGAACCAGCCAUGCCGCGUGAAGGAUGAAGGUCCUCUGGAUUGUAAACUUCUUUUAUCUGGGACGAAAACGGGAUUUUUAUCUCAAUUGACGGUACCAGAGGAAUAAGCACCGGCUAACUCCGUGCCAGCAGCCGCGGUAAUACGGAGGGUGCGAGCGUUAUCCGGAUUUACUGGGUUUAAAGGGUGCGUAGGUGGGCUUAUAAGUCAGUGGUGAAAUCUCCGAGCUUAACUUGGAAACUGCCGUUGAUACUAUAGGUCUUGAAUUAUCUGGAGGUAAGCGGAAUAUGUCAUGUAGCGGUGAAAUGCUUAGAUAUCAGGAGGAACACCGGCGGUGUAGACGGCUUGCUAGACCAUAACUGACGCUGAGGCACGAAAGCGUGGGUAGCAAACA